GUAAAGAUGGAUUAGAAGUGUUUAAAAUAACACUUAUACCCAUUUUCUCCCC
RNAcentral lists this small RNA (52 nucleotides) under Arabidopsis thaliana (thale cress). RNAcentral describes it as "ATSL035620". The record is from RNAcentral. Lineage: Eukaryota; Viridiplantae; Streptophyta; Magnoliopsida; Brassicales; Brassicaceae.